Molecule: ribosomal RNA, 492 nt
Filed under: uncultured bacterium
Lineage: Bacteria
Description: partial 16S ribosomal RNA
Rfam family: Bacterial small subunit ribosomal RNA
Source: RNAcentral
AAUGAACGCUGGCGGCAUGCCUAACACAUGCAAGUCGAACGGACACACAAUAAGAUCUUGCUCCUAACGGUGGCGGCUGGCGGGCGGGUGACGCAUAAAUCACCAACCUCUUUUUCGUGGGGGAUAACGGGGGGAAACUUCUGCUAACACCGCAUAUGACCUACCGGUGGAAGCAGUGGUUAUUCACGCCUUUCCUGAUUGUAAUAGCCGGUGUCGGGUUAGCUAGUUGGCGGGGUAAAGGCCCACCAAGGCGACGAUCCGUAGCUGGUCUGAGAGGAUGAUCAGCCACACUGGAACUGAGACACGGUCCAGACUCCUACGGGAGGCAGCAGUGGGGAAUAUUGGACAAUGGGCGCAAGCCUGAUCCAGCCAUACCGCGUGGGUGAAGAAGGCCUUCGGGUUGUAAAGCCCUUUUGUUGGGAAAGAAAAGCAGCAGGUUAAUACCCCGCUGUUCUGACGGUACCCAAAGAAUAAGCACCGGCUAACUUCGUG